Molecule: ribosomal RNA, 497 nt
Filed under: uncultured bacterium
Lineage: Bacteria
Description: partial 16S ribosomal RNA
Rfam family: Bacterial small subunit ribosomal RNA
Source: RNAcentral
GAUGAACGCUGGCGGCGUGCCUAAUACAUGCCAGUCGAGCGAACAGACGAGGAGCUUGCUCCUCUGACGUUAGCGGCGGACGGGUGAGUAACACGUGGAUAACCUACCUAUAAGACUGGGAUAACUUCGGGAAACCGGCGCUAAUACCGGAUAAUCUAUUGAACCGCAUGGUUCAAUAGUGAAAGACGGUUUUGCUGUCACUUAUAGAUGGAUCCGCGCCGCAUUAGCUAGUUGGUAAGGUAACGGCUUACCAAGGCAACGAUGCGUAGCCGACCUGAGAGGGGGAUAGGCGACACGGGAACUGAGACGCGGUCAAGACGCCUACGGGAGGCAGCAGUAGGGAAUGUUCCGCAAUGGGCGAAAGCCUGACGGAGCAACGCCGCGUGAGUGAUGAAGGUCUUCGGAUCGUAAAACUCUGUUAUUAGGGAAGAACAAAUGUGUAAGUAACUAUGCACGUCUUGACGGUACCUAAUCAGAAAGCCACGGCUAACUACGUG